RNAcentral lists this ribosomal RNA (439 nucleotides) under uncultured bacterium. RNAcentral describes it as "bacterial SSU rRNA". It matches the Rfam family "Bacterial small subunit ribosomal RNA", at positions 959 to 1397 of the family's 1533-position model. The record is from RNAcentral.
ACGCGAGGAACCUUACCAGGUCUUGACAUCCUCUGACACUCCUAGAGAUAGGACGUUCCCCUUCGGGGGACAGAGUGACAGGUGGUGCAUGGUUGUCGUCAGCUCGUGUCGUGAGAUGUUGGGUUAAGUCCCGCAACGAGCGCAACCCUUGAUCUUAGUUGCCAGCAUUAAGUUGGGCACUCUAAGGUGACUGCCGGUGACAAACCGGAGGAAGGUGGGGAUGACGUCAAAUCAUCAUGCCCCUUAUGACCUGGGCUACACACGUGCUACAAUGGACGGUACAAACGGUUGCCAACCCGCGAGGGGGAGCUAAUCCGAUAAAACCGUUCUCAGUUCGGAUUGUAGGCUGCAACUCGCCUACAUGAAGCCGGAAUCGCUAGUAAUCGCGGAUCAGCAUGCCGCGGUGAAUACGUUCCCGGGUCUUGCACACACCGCCCGU